UGCUAGACCGAAUCUGACGCUGAGGGACGAAAGCUAGGGGAGCGAAUGGGAUUAGAUACCCCAGUAGUCCUAGUCGUAAACGAUGGAGACUAGGUGUUGCCUGUAUCGACCCGGGCAGUGCCGAAGCCAACGCGUUAAGUCUCCCGCCUGGGGAGUACGCACGCAAGUGUGAAACUCAAAGGAAUUGACGGGGGCCCGCACAAGCGGUGGAGUAUGUGGUUUAAUUCGAUGCAACGCGAAGAACCUUACCAGGGCUUGACAUCCCGCGAAUCUUCCCGAAAGGGGAGAGUGCCUACGGGAACGCGGAGGCAGGUGGUGCAUGGCUGUCGUCAGCUCGUGUCGUGAGAUGUUGGGUUAAGUCCCGCAACGAGCGCAACCCUCGUCCUUAGUUGCCAGCCUUAAGUGGGGCACUCUAGGGAGACUGCCGGUGAUAAACCGGAGGAAGGUGGGGAUGACGUCAAGUCAUCAUGCCCCAUAUGUCCUGGGCUACACACGUACUACAAUGGUCGGGACAACGAGCAGCCAACUUGCGAAAGCGAGCUAAUCUCUUAAACCCGGCCUCAGUUCAGAUUGCAGGCUGCAACUCGCCUGCAUGAAGGAGGAAUCGCUAGUAAUCGCAGGUCAGCAUACUGCGGUGAAUCCGUUCCCGGGCCUUGCACACACCGCCCGUC
RNAcentral lists this ribosomal RNA (671 nucleotides) under uncultured bacterium. Its description in RNAcentral is "bacterial SSU rRNA". It matches the Rfam family "Bacterial small subunit ribosomal RNA", at positions 727 to 1398 of the family's 1533-position model. The record is from RNAcentral.